CAGAGGGUGCGAACGUUGCUCGGAAUUACUGGGCGUAAAGCGCGUGUAGGCGGGUCGGCAAGUCAGGCGUGAAAUCCCCAGGCUCAACCUGGGAACUGCGCUUGAAACUGCCGGUCUUGAGUAUCGGAGAGGGUGGCGGAAUUCCUGGUGUAGAGGUGAAAUUCGUAGAUAUCAGGAGGAACACCGGUGGCGAAGGCGGCCACCUGGACGAUUACUGACGCCGAGACGCGAAAGCGUGGGGAGCAAACAGGAUUAGAUACCCUGGUAGUCCACGCCGUAAACGAUGGGUGCUAGGUGUCUCGGGUAUUGACCCCUGAGGUGCCGUAGCUAACGCGUUAAGCACCCCGCCUGGGAAGUACGGCCGCAAGGCUA
Molecule: ribosomal RNA, 372 nt
Filed under: uncultured organism
Description: bacterial SSU rRNA
Rfam family: Bacterial small subunit ribosomal RNA
Source: RNAcentral